AGGGUUUCGGCCUUAGUUGGCGGACGGGUGAGUUAACGCGUAGGUAUCUAUCCAUGGGGUGGGGGAUAACACUGGGAAACUGGUGCUAAUACCGCAUGACACCUGAGGGUCAAAGGCGUAAGUCGCCUGUGGAGGAGCCUGCGUUUGAUUAGCUAGUUGGUGGGGUAAAGGCCUACCAAGGCGAUGAUCAAUAGCUGGUUUGAGAGGAUGAUCAGCCACACUGGGACUGAGACACGGCCCAGACUCCUACGGGAGGCAGCAGUGGGGAAUAUUGGACAAUGGGGGCAACCCUGAUCCAGCAAUGCCGCGUGUGUGAAGAAGGUCUUCGGAUUGUAAAGCACUUUCGACGGGGACGAUGAUGACGGUACCCGUAGAAGAAGCCCCGGCUAACUUCGUGCCAGCAGCCGCGGUAAUACGAAGGGGGCUAGCGUUGCUCGGAAUGACUGGGCGUAAAGGGCGUGUAGGCGGUUUGUACAGUCAGAUGUGAAAUCCCCGGGCUUAACCUGGGAGCUGCAUUUGAUACGUGCAGACUAGAGUGUGAGAGAGGGUUGUGGAAUUCCCAGUGUAGAGGUGAAAUUCGUAGAUAUUGGGAAGAACACCGGUGGCGAAGGCGGCAACCUGGCUCAUUACUGACGCUGAGGCGCGAAAGCGUGGGGAGCAAACAGGAUUAGAUACC
This 676-nucleotide ribosomal RNA is filed under the name Acetobacter pomorum. RNAcentral describes it as "bacterial SSU rRNA". It matches the Rfam family "Bacterial small subunit ribosomal RNA", at positions 72 to 786 of the family's 1533-position model. The record is from RNAcentral. Lineage: Bacteria; Pseudomonadati; Pseudomonadota; Alphaproteobacteria; Acetobacterales; Acetobacteraceae.